CCGCGCCUACGGGACGCAGCAGUGAGGAAUAUUGGUCAAUGGGCUUACGCCUGAACCAGCCAAGUCGCGUGAGGGAAGACUGCCCUAUGGGUUGUAAACCUCUUUUGUCGGGGAGCAAGACCCGCCACGAGUGGCGGAGCGAGAGUACCCGAAGAAAAAGCAUCGGCUAACUCCGUGCCAGCAGCCGCGGUAAUACGGAGGAUGCGAGCGUUAUCCGGAUUUAUUGGGUUUAAAGGGUGCGCAGGCGGACCAUCAAGUCAGCGGUAAAAUCGUGGGGCCCAACCC
This 285-nucleotide ribosomal RNA is filed under the name uncultured bacterium. RNAcentral's name for it is "partial 16S ribosomal RNA". It matches the Rfam family "Bacterial small subunit ribosomal RNA", at positions 331 to 615 of the family's 1533-position model. The record is from RNAcentral.